UCGACAUCAUUAAUAUUAGUCUCUUCUAUAAAAGGACCAUCUUGAGACUUAGUGUUAUAUAUCCCAUUUAAUCCUCUCCUUCUCUUCGUUCUGAAUUUUCUCUUCAAAUCUUUUUCUUUAUAAUCAUUUUUUUUAGAUGCUAAAAAGAUCUCCAUCAACCUCCUUGAUGAUUGUAUUCAUAGACAGAACAUCCGAUCGUAUCUUAGAAUGGUUUUUUCAGAUUUUUUUAUAUGAG
This 235-nucleotide long non-coding RNA is filed under the name Elaeis guineensis (African oil palm). RNAcentral describes it as "long non-coding RNA (EGUI_LNC021735)". Lineage: Eukaryota; Viridiplantae; Streptophyta; Magnoliopsida; Arecales; Arecaceae. The record is from RNAcentral.